AGUUUUGAUCAUGGCUCAGGACGAACGCUGGCGGGCAUGCCUAAUACAUGCAAGUCGAACGAGCUUCCGUUGAAUGACGUGCUUGCACUGAUUUCAACAAUGAAGCGAGUGGCGAACUGGUGAGUAACACGUGGGAAAUCUGCCCAGAAGCAGGGGAUAACACUUGGAAACAGGUGCUAAUACCGUAUAACAACAAAAUCCGCAUGGAUUUUGUUUGAAAGGUGGCUUCGGCUAUCACUUCUGGAUGAUCCCGCGGCGUAUUAGUUAGUUGGUGAGGUAAAGGCCCACCAAGACGAUGAUACGUAGCCGACCUGAGAGGGUAAUCGGCCACAUUGGGACUGAGACACGGCCCAAACUCCUACGGGAGGCAGCAGUAGGGAAUCUUCCACAAUGGACGAAAGUCUGAUGGAGCAAUGCCGCGUGAGUGAAGAAGGGUUUCGGCUCGUAAAACUCUGUUGUUAAAGAAGAACACCUUUGAGAGUAACUGUUCAAGGGUUGACGGUAUUUAACCAGAAAGCCACGGCUAACUACGUGCCAGCAGCCGCGGUAAUACGUAGGUGGCAAGCGUUGUCCGGAUUUAUUGGGCGUAAAGCGAGCGCAGGCGGUUUUUUAAGUCUGAUGUGAAAGCCUUCGGCUUAACCGGAGAAGUGCAUCGGAAACUGGGAGACUUGAGUGCAGAAGAGGACAGUGGAACUCCAUGUGUAGCGGUG
This 710-nucleotide ribosomal RNA is filed under the name Levilactobacillus brevis. RNAcentral's name for it is "bacterial SSU rRNA". It matches the Rfam family "Bacterial small subunit ribosomal RNA", at positions 10 to 683 of the family's 1533-position model. The record is from RNAcentral. Lineage: Bacteria; Bacillati; Bacillota; Bacilli; Lactobacillales; Lactobacillaceae.